This 1812-nucleotide long non-coding RNA is filed under the name Panax ginseng (ginseng). RNAcentral's name for it is "long non-coding RNA (PGIN_LNC006700)". Lineage: Eukaryota; Viridiplantae; Streptophyta; Magnoliopsida; Apiales; Araliaceae. The record is from RNAcentral.
UGGCCUUAGCCAUAUAACAGUCGAAUUGAGGGAAAAGGAAGGAACGCUAUAACAGUUAGGGCAAUUUCAGAAAAAAGGAAAGAAGAAAGAGCAGGAGCUGGCAGAGAAGGAGUACAUCUCGACAAAGAUGAAGCAGGAGGUGGCGAUUCGGGGGUGGAAGCCGUGCGCUCCAAUAGGCUUAGGGACCAAGAAAUUUUCGUGGAAGGCAAGGUGCUCUGCCUAUAAAACUCGGUCUCUCCUCCCUUCUUCUUCCUUACUGCCGAGCCCAGUCUUCUUCUUCUUCUCCCCUCACCGUCCGGUCAAACCACCUUACCCUUUUGCCGAAAUUAUCUAACAUUUGCCCUGUUCUUUCCGGCCGAAUCCAAGCUACCUAGUCUAUACCAAGUGUGAAUUUGAUUAGCAAGCAGAUAAAAAGGUAUAACAAUCAAAUCUUUUCUAUUUCAGUUAAAUAAGAUCAAUUAGUGAAUUGAUCUUUCCCACUUGGGUUUGGGGUCUUUCCCACUUAACCAAUUCACUAAUUAGUGAAUUCACUUCAACUCAAAAGCUCGGGAGUUUAAAUAUUGCUUUACUGACUACAAGUGGUUAAGUAUAAAAAACCCCAAACUCAGAUGGUGAUAUGAAAUUUACUCUUUUUUUUAAUUCGUAAAAACAGUUAGGAUUGGUAAGUUUAUCAGAGUUAUAAUUUUGGUUAAUGAAGUUAAGAUUGUUAGUUUUGAACAGAUAUCAAUUAAUUGAGUCAUUUACUGUGAUUGAAUAAUGAAGUUAAAUUUGUUGCUAAAACAGUUAAUUGUUAUCAAACUGGGAUAAUGAAAACCAUUCAUGAUUGUGGUACUGUGGUUGGAAACUGACAUGAAAUUUUAACUGGAAAACAGAUAACAGUAUGUGGCUGAGCAUUGGCAUACAUCAAUUAUGUAUGUUUUGUUAAUAUAUGGAGUUAGAAAGUUUCAUGUAUAUAUUUUUUUGCAAAUGAGUAAGGUUGGUAAGUUGGGUUAGUCUUAAAAGUCAGUUUGUAUGUAUAUAAUUUUGAAAAUCAGUUGGUGUAUUAUAUUAGGAUCAUGCCCAUAUUAUAUGUUGGAGUUAUGAUUGAUUGUGAUAGAAGACUUUCAUGCUCCAUAUAUUAAAGUUUGCAAGUUGGAGUUUUUGAAAUCAAUUAGUUUACUAAAUAGUUGGUUAUAUAUAUAUGAAUUGAUAGUGCAAAUGGUUGCUAUGGACCAGAAAUAGAGCAUAGGGGAUAGGUUUGGUUGUGAGGAGAUAUAAGGAGGUUAAAAUGGGAUUAUAGCACAAACAAAUGGCUAUGGUACAAAGGUUUCAAAACAACGCACACAUAGUGCUUGACAAAAUUACUUAAAUGGACUGUUUUGAUUAAAAACCAAGUAUUAGGUAAAACUAAGGCUUGGGCUAGAUCUAUGUAUGUUAUAUGAUGAUAAGUAAAGAGUUUGGGCGUACUAAGUUAGAACGAAAAACAAUUUUAAGUGAAAAUGGAAAAUCAAAAGUUAAUAUAUUGAGCUUAAUAUUUUAAAAUAGUAGUUUUAUACGUUAUGUUUAUCAUGUUCAAAAAGGGAUGUAAUCCAAGAUAGGAGUUAGAAAUUUAAAUUGAUCAAAUUUACAUUGCUGUGCUGUAGCAGCAAUGGGCUGUAGCAGCACGCUGCAGGGUAGCAUGUGGGGGCCUCCUUUGCGCUCUCAAAUGAUGUGUUAUUUACCCAAAAUGUAUGGUUGUUAUUUUAUAUAAUUGGCAGGUAUACCACCUAUAUAAUACCCAAAAUUCAGUGUAAAUGGGCUAAUAUAUUGCAAGUUAUAAAUUAGUGAAAUAAG